UACGGAGGAGGCAAGCGUUAUCAGGAAUUAUUGGGCGUAAAGCGUCCGUAGGAGGUUGACCAAGUCUGCUGUCAAAGGGUGGGGCUUAACCUCAUAAAGGCAGUGGAAACUGGUGAGCUAGAGUGCGGUCGGGGUAAGGGGAAUUCCCAGUGUAGCGGUGAAAUGCGUAGAGAUUGGGAAGAACAUCGGUGGCGAAAGCGCCUUGCUGGGCCUGCACUGACACUGAGGGACGAAAGCUAGGGGAGCGAAAGGG
RNAcentral lists this ribosomal RNA (253 nucleotides) under uncultured bacterium. RNAcentral describes it as "partial 16S ribosomal RNA". It matches the Rfam family "Bacterial small subunit ribosomal RNA", at positions 524 to 776 of the family's 1533-position model. The record is from RNAcentral.